Molecule: ribosomal RNA, 1708 nt
Filed under: human gut metagenome
Description: bacterial LSU rRNA
Rfam family: Bacterial large subunit ribosomal RNA
Source: RNAcentral
CGCGUAAUCGAAAUCCGAAGGAAGCCUAGCAGUAUCCAGAGUAGCACGGGACACGAGAAAUCCCGUGUGAACGAGCGGAGACCACUCCGUAAGGCUAAAUACUAACUGGUGACUGAUAGAGUAAUAGUACUGUGAAGGAAAGGUGAAAAGGACCCCGGGAGGGGAGUGAAAGAGAACCUGAAACCUUGUGUUUACAUACUGUGGAAGCACGUUAAAGUGCGACUGCGUACUUUUUGUAGAACGGUCCGGCGAGUUACGCAUAUAGGUAGGUUAAGGGCUAAGAGGUCUGGAGCCGAAGUGAAAGCGAGCGUUAAAAGCGCGAAGAUCUAUAUGUGUAGACCCGAAACCGGGUGAUCUACCCAUGAGCAGUGUGAAGUUGCUGUAAGAGGCAAUGGAGGCGCGAACACACAUCUGUUGAAAAAGGUGGUGAUGACUUGUGGGUAGGGGAGAAAUUCCAAUCGAACUCGGAGAUAGCUGGUUCUCCUCGAAAUAGCUUUAGGGCUAGCCUUUCUUUAGUCUACUGCAGGUAGAGCACUGAAUUUCCUAGGGGGCGUCAAAGUUUGCCGAAGAAUAUCAAACUCCGAAUGGCAGUUAGAUGAUGAGAAGGAGUCAGACCAUAUGAGAUAAGUCGGAUGGUCAAAAGGGAAAGAGCCCAGAUCUGCAGCUAAGGUCCCAAAGGUAGUGUUAAGUGUGAAAGGAUGUGCGACUUCAUAGACAGCUAGGAUGUUGGCUCAGAAGCAGCCAUACAUUGAAAGAGUGCGUAACAGCUCACUAGUCGAGAGGUGGUGCGCCGAAAAUACACGGGGCUAAAACACUACACCGAAGCUCAGGGAUUCGAAAGAAUCGGUAGAGGAGCAUUGUUAGUUCGUAGAAGCCGUACUGAUAAAGAGCGGUGGAGGGCUAAGAAGAGAGAAUGCCGGAAUGAGUAGCGAGACUGAAGUGAGAAUCUUCAGGACCGAAUAUCCAAGGUUUCCAGGGUAAAGCUUGUCUUCCCUGGGUUAGUCGGGGCCUAAGGCGAGGUCGAAAGACGUAGUCGAUGGACAACAGGUUGAUAUUCCUGCACUACUGUAUAUCAGAACUGUGGGGACGCGGUUUAAAGAGGUGAGUCAAGUGAAGGAACUUGAUUGGACAUGGAGGCCAGGUUAGGGGCAAAUACCUUAACGAAAUGGUAAGGACAUGAACGAUAGGGAACAAUAAAAGUAGCGAAAGAGCUGAAUAAACUGCCAAGAAAAGCCGCUAUUGCGUAUAUAGUACCCGUACCGCAAACCGACACAGGUGGAUGAGGAGAGAAUCCUAAGGUCGACGGGAGAAGUAUUGUUAAGGAACUCGGCAAAAUGCCCCGUAACUUCGGGAGAAGGGGUGCUGAUAGUAAUCAGCCGCAGUGAAUAGGCCCAAGCAACUGUUUAGCAAAAACACAGGUCUAUGCGAAACCGAAAGGUGAAGUAUAUGGGCUGACGCCUGCCCGGUGCUGGAAGGUUAAGAGGAGAGGUUAGCGUAAGCGAAGCUUUGAAUCCAAGCCCCAGUAAACGGCGGCCGUAACUAUAACGGUCCUAAGGUAGCGAAAUUCCUUGUCGGGUAAGUUCCGACCCGCACGAAAGGCGUAAUGAUUUGGGCACUGUCUCGACAAUACACCCGGUGAAAUUGAAAUGCCAGUGAAGAUGCUGGCUACCUGCGCCAGGACGGAAAGACCCCAUGGAGCUUUACUCUA